GCCGCCGCCGAGCCCAGCACCCGCUCCGAUUUCCCAAUCCCGGCGCCCGGUCGCCGGCUCGCCGCUCCCUCCCCCAGAAGCGUCCCCAAUCCUGGCAUCCCACCUUCCUCAUCCCGGCGCGUCUCGGCCUUCCGUCGGCGACCCUCGGGCCAUCGCGGUGUAGCGCUGCGCGUCCCAUCCCGCCCCGGCGAUUCAUUCCGCUCGUUGCGCCGUCACCCAUUCCGAGUUCCCACGCCGCCGCCCGUUCCGAGCUCCUCCGCCGUCGUCUCGGUCGACCGCGGGCCGAAGUCCUGCGACCUGAUCCGCCUAACACGCGGGAACUCAUACAUCAGUUCGCCAUCGUUUGUGACUCCGUUCCGAGCUCCGCGAGGACGCUCCGCUCCCGUCGCCGUCGCCCCCAGGUGACUGCCGGGCAACAUCGAUGGUUGAAAAGAUUCUCCAGCUAGCUGCCCAUAUCACCUACAAAAAUCACAUACCCCGUGCACCAAAUUGCUCAGUCCCUCCAAUUUCCCUAUCCAUCCUUCAAUCCCCACGGCCACAGAUCCAUUCCGUCGCAAUCGCUGCACACCGCGUCCACAUUUCAAGAAGCGUAGUGCACAGGAGAUGGAGAAUCAAAUUGGUUUGCUUCUUUUAUUUUCCACGUCUUCUUGGCUGUGAAUCUGGAAGCCCAAAUUUUGGACGAUGCAGGUUGUAGCAGCAGUUGCAUAUGUGCCGCUCGCCGCCGGCGGAUGGGGCCACGUGCAGAGGCGAUGGGAUGGGAAGCGACGUCACCGUGUGCUUCACCGUCUAGGGAGCCUGUACUUGCUGCUGAGUGCAUGAUCCCCUCAAUUCGACCAUCCCUGUCCCAGCGGCCCAGCCGAAUUUGUGCUCCCUGCUCUUGUCCCCUGUUCUUCUUCACUGGAUACAGGAUUAUAUUGGUUCUCAGCAGGGUGGUGUUCAAGAGCAUGCUGGAAAGCUGGAGACGUAUGAGCUUCCCAUCUGAUCAGUGCAUGCAGGGAGGGUUCUGAGCUUAGACAUGAGUGUUGUAUAACAGAUUAUGAAUUUUUAUUGAGUGAACAGCACCAUGGUAUCCUGGUACUGAUUCUUGCGUGGACGGGCAACCAUAUACUCUUUUAGCAUAUGGCCAUGUUACUAGCAAACUGUUGUUUUAGCUACUACUUAAUUUUUCUUUAGGGAAACUAUUCAACUGGAACGGAUUGGGAUUUACCAA
RNA transcript from Panicum virgatum (switchgrass), 1210 nucleotides. RefSeq lists it as uncharacterized. The transcript has 5 exons. NCBI's taxonomy places the organism in Eukaryota, Viridiplantae, Streptophyta, Magnoliopsida, Poales, Poaceae. The record is from RefSeq and is a predicted model, not a curated record.